AGCAGCCGCGGUAAUUCCAGCUCCAAUAGCGUAUAUUAAAGUUGUUGCAGUUAAAAAGCUCGUAGUUGAAUUUCGAGAUCGGUUUAUUGGUCGUGCUAUUGUACGUACUGGUAUUACCGGUUUCUCCUUUCUGACGAACCUUAAUGCCAUUAAUUUGGUGUUUUGGGAAAUCAGGACUGUUACUUUGAAAAAAUUAGAGUGUUUAAAGCAGGCUCACGCUUGAAUACAUUAGCAUGGAAUAACGGAAUAGGACGUUUGAUUCUAUUUUGUUGGUUUCUAGGAUCGACGUAAUGAUUAAUAGGGAUAGUUGGGGGCAUUAGUAUUCAAUUGUCAGAGGUGAAAUUCUUGGAUUUAUUGAAGACUAACUACUGCGAAAGCAUUUGCCAAGGAUGUUUUCAUUAAUCAAGAACGAAAGUUAGGGGAUCGAAGACGAUCAGAUACCGUCGUAGUCUUAACCAUAAACUAUGCCGACUAGGGAUCGGAUGAUGUAAUUUUUAAUGUACUC
RNAcentral lists this ribosomal RNA (505 nucleotides) under uncultured Glomus. RNAcentral's name for it is "SSU rRNA". It matches the Rfam family "Eukaryotic small subunit ribosomal RNA", at positions 569 to 1077 of the family's 1831-position model. The record is from RNAcentral. Lineage: Eukaryota; Fungi; Glomeromycota; Glomeromycetes; Glomerales; Glomeraceae.